Molecule: RNA transcript, 2027 nt
Organism: Mastomys coucha (southern multimammate mouse)
Lineage: Eukaryota; Metazoa; Chordata; Mammalia; Rodentia; Muridae
Gene name: polypeptide N-acetylgalactosaminyltransferase 11-like
Exons: 2
Source: RefSeq, a predicted model, not a curated record
UCUGGGCCCCACGGGCCAUUUCCCAAAAAAAUUCUACCCACGUUUCACUAGAGGUCCAGGUCAAGUAUUAGAUCCACAAUUCAAAGCAAACAGAACGGACGAUUUGAUGAAUAAUCACAUUGAAGAUCCAGAUAAAGGCCUCUCAAAAUCUUCCUCUGAACUAGGUAUGAUUUUCAAUGAAUGUGAUCAGGAAUUGAGAGACCUGGGCUACCAGAAACACGCCUUUAAUAUGCUUAUUAAUAACCGUUUGGGAUACCACAGAGAUGUGCCAGACACCAGGAAUGCAGAGUGUAGGGGGAAGUCCUUCCCCAGCUGCUAGCGUUGUUUUCUGUUUCUACAACGAAGCCUUUUCUGUCUUUUUUUUUUAAGACUCCAGAAAGGGAAUUAGAUCUCGUUACGGAUGGUCUGUUGUGGACCGCACACCGGCCCACCUUCUUCAUGAGAUCAUCCUUGUGGAUGACAGCAGUGACUCUGAUGAUUUAAAAGGAGAACUAGAUGAGCACAUCCAAAGAUACCUGCCUGCAAAAGUCAAGGUCAUAAGAAAUAUGAAGCUUGACAGAUUGAUCAGAGGAAGAAUGAUCGGAGCAGCCCACGCUACAGGAGAAGUGCUGGUGUUCCUGGACAGCCACUGUGAAGUGAAUGGGAUGUGGUUACAGCCCCUGCUGGCCAUCAUCCUUGAGGACCCACACACAGUCGUGUGCCCCCUGAUGGACAUCAUCAGUGCAGACACACUUGCUUACAGCUCAUCCCCAGUGGUUCGGGAAGGUUUCAACUGGGGGCUGCACUUCAAGUGGGAUCUAGUUCCGAUAUCUGAGCUGGGAGGCGCUGACGGUGCCACGACCCCAAUAAGGUCUCCACAAUGGCUGGAAGAUUGUUUACCAUGAACAGACAGUAUUUCAGUGAACUUGGACAGUAUAACAGUGGCAUGGACAUCUGGGGAGGAGAAAAUCUGGAAAUCUCAUUUCGGACCUGGAUAUGUGGCGGCAAGCUCUUCAUCAUCCCUUGCUGAAGAGUGAGACACGUUUUCCGAAAAAGGUGACCAUAUGGAUCUCCUGAAGGCCAGGACACCAUGACACACAACUCCCUGAGACUGGCACAUGUCUGGCUGGAUAAGUACAAGGAGCAGUAUUUUUCCUGAUUUGAAGACCAAAAACUUUGGGGAUAUCAGUGAGCGUGUUGAUUUGAGGAUUGGGCUGUCAAUUAUUCAAGUGGUAGUUGGAUAAUAUUUACCCUGAGAUGCAGAUACCUGGUCCGAAUGCCAAACCUCAGCAGCCCGUUUUCAUCAACAGGGGACCCAAGCGCCCAGAGUCCUGCUUCGUGGAAGGCUCUACCACUUGCAGACCGACAAAUGCCUGGUGGCCCAGGGCCGCUCCAGCCAGAAAGGAAGCCUAGUGCUGCUUAAGGCCUGUGACUACAGAGACCCAACUCAGGUCUGGAUUUAUAAUGAAGAGCAUGAAUUGAUUUUAAACAACCUCCUUUGCCUUGACAUGUCAGAAACUCGCUCAUCAGAUCCACCUCGACUCAUGAAAUGCCAUGGGGCAGGAGGAUCCCAGCAGUGGACCUUUGAGAAUAUCCGGCUAUACCAAGUGUCCGUUGGGCAGUGCCUGAGAGUUGUGGAUCAGAAGGGCUAUGUUGGCAUGGCGAUCUGCGAUGGCUCCUCCUCUCAACAGUGGCGCCUAGAAGGUUAAAGGUGGGCACUGGCUGGAGACAACAUAGUUAUUCACCUGGUUUUGUCAUGCCUGCCAUAAAUCAAGGUGCUUUAUGAAGGAUGUUGCUGACCACAAUAGGCAAGAACCUUGGUAGAGGGUGACCAUCUCAGGAUCUUCACUGGAAUUUGGGUUAUUUCAGAUCUGCUGUUGAGGGAUUCUUGUUUAACUGGGAAAACAGAAAAUAAUUCUGAAGAGUUGGGUCUACAGAGUAUAAACCAGGAAGUAGGUAUUUCUGUUCAUAUUUAUGUUUCUCGUAUUCUCCCUUGGAGAUGGAAUGGUUUCUGUCUAAUCAGGAACUUGUCACAAUUUCCUUUCAUA